This 252-nucleotide long non-coding RNA is filed under the name Numida meleagris (helmeted guineafowl). RNAcentral describes it as "lncRNA (ENSNMEG00000014031.1)". Lineage: Eukaryota; Metazoa; Chordata; Aves; Galliformes; Numididae. The record is from RNAcentral.
GUGAAAUUAAGCAUAAAGCAAGACUUUUUUUCAGGAACAAGGAAAAUUGAGGUGAAAGAAGCUGAAGUGAAAGAGCAGCUCUGAUUCAUUCACUGAAGUGAAUGAGGCAUGUGAAGAGAAUUCUACUGAAGGUGUUGUGCACUAGUGUCCUUGAGCAGAGCAGAGAUAAGCCUCCGACAAACGAAUGCUGCCGUCAGGCUGGGAGGUGUCCUGACAACUCCUGUCCCAGUGCUGAGACACAAGCAAGGUCAG